AAUAAUUUUAUUUUUCGUUUUUCCGUGUCUAAUAUUUGAUCAUUCGUCUUAUUUGAAAAAUCUGUACAAAAACUAGUCACGUAUAAAGUACUAUUCAUAUUUUAUCAUCCAGUAACAAUAAAAAUAUUAAUCGCAAAAAAAUUUCAAAUAAGACGAAUGGUCAAAUGUUGGACAAGGAAAAACA
This is a non-coding RNA of Oryza brachyantha (malo sina), 184 nucleotides long. NCBI's taxonomy places the organism in Eukaryota, Viridiplantae, Streptophyta, Magnoliopsida, Poales, Poaceae. The record is from Rfam.